Molecule: long non-coding RNA, 593 nt
Organism: Acromyrmex echinatior (Panamanian leafcutter ant)
Lineage: Eukaryota; Metazoa; Arthropoda; Insecta; Hymenoptera; Formicidae
Source: RefSeq, a predicted model, not a curated record
AGCACGAUGUCUUAAAGAUUAGAUAAAGAUAAUGCGAAUCGGAUCGAAUGGAAUUUGUCAGCAUUUUCUUAUACGAUCCGAAGAAACUCGUGAAUAGACAUCAUCAGGUGUUGCUUCCAGAUUUGCAUCAAAAUUAUAUUGCAGAUUGAAGAUUAAUGAAGAAUGUUGGGAACGAGCUCAAGGAAAUUCUAGAAGACUUUGGAAGUGAUUGAAUGACUGGCAAGCGGCAAGUCACGUAAAGAAGAAACGUGCCUGGCAUCCAAACUCGAAGCUUGCGUCGCGCGUUGAGUGCGCGGGGAAAAUUACAAUGACAGUACCUACGUUUAGCAACGUGGACCUCGAUUUUCAGCGACAUUUCAAAUACUACCAAAGAACGCGUACUCUCGGUUAUUAAUAAACAUAAAAAUGGGAAUUCGUUAUGAAGAAGUAUGCAGCUCCAGAAACACGUUUCAGUUGCAUCCCACUCACGGCGUCACACCGGAGGCUCGAUUCAAGGUGAUGCGCGGCUGGUACGCAGAGUGCGGCCGGAUGCACUGGCAAUAAUGUAUCCGCUAUCAAAUGACUUUGUCCUUCGAUACUAGUUCGCUUAGAUU